AGCGACGCCGCGUGAGUGAUGAAGGCCCUCGGGUUGUAAAGCUCUGUUYUWUGGGAACAAAAAAAUGAGUGUACCAUAGGAGAAAGGACCGGCUAACUUCGUGCCAGCAGCCGCGGUAAUACGAGGGGUCCAAGCGUUGUUCGGAAUUAUUGGGCGUAAAGCGGGUGUAGGUGGUUUUUCAAGUCAGAAGUGAAAGCCCCGGGCUCAACCCGGGAAGUGCUUUUGAUACUGUUAAACUUGAGUGUAGGAGAGGAUAGUAGAAUUCCAGGUGUAGUGGUGAAAUACGUAGAUAUCUGGAGGAAUACCGGUGAGGAAGCUGGCUGUCUGGCCUAACACUGACACUCAGACCCGAAAGCGUGGGUAGCAAACAGGAUUAGAUACCCUGGUAGUCCACGCCGUAAACGAUGAACACUUGGUGUUGGAGGUAUUGACCCCUUCAGUGCCGAAGCUAACGCGUUAAGUGUUCCGCCUGGGGAGUACGGUCGCAAGAUUAAAACUCAAAGAAAUUGACGGGGGCCCGCACAAGCGGUGGAGCAUGUGGUUUAAUUCGAUGCAACGCGAAGAACCUUACCUGGGCUUGACAUGCACGAGAAAGCCGGUGGAAACAUCGGCCCCUCUUCGGAGUUCGUGCACAGGUGCUGCAUGGCUGUCGUCAGCUCGUGUCGUGAGAUGUUGGGUUAAGUCCCGCAACGAGCGCAACCCUCGUCCCUAGUUACCAGC
This 720-nucleotide ribosomal RNA is filed under the name uncultured bacterium. RNAcentral describes it as "bacterial SSU rRNA". It matches the Rfam family "Bacterial small subunit ribosomal RNA", at positions 390 to 1122 of the family's 1533-position model. The record is from RNAcentral.